This 464-nucleotide ribosomal RNA is filed under the name uncultured bacterium. RNAcentral's name for it is "partial 16S ribosomal RNA". It matches the Rfam family "Bacterial small subunit ribosomal RNA", at positions 330 to 792 of the family's 1533-position model. The record is from RNAcentral.
UCCAGACUCCUACGGGAGGCAGCAGUGAGGAAUAUUGGUCAAUGGCCGUAAGGCUGAACCAGCCAAGUCGCGUGAGGGACGACUGCCCUAUGGGUUGUAAACCUCUUUUAUAAGGGAAGAAUAAAUGCUACGUGUAGCAUGAUGCCUGUACCUUAUGAAUAAGCAUCGGCUAACUCCGUGCCAGCAGCCGCGGUAAUACGGAGGAUGCGAGCGUUAUCCGGAUUUAUUGGGUUUAAAGGGUGCGUAGGCGGACAGUCAAGUCAGCGGUAAAAAUGCGGUGCUCAACGCCGUACAGCCGUUGAAACUGGCAGUCUUGAGUGGGCGAGAAGUAUGCGGAAUGCGUGGUGUAGCGGUGAAAUGCAUAGAUAUCACGCAGAACUCCGAUUGCGAAGGCAGCAUACCGGCGCCCGACUGACGCUGAGGCACGAAAGCGUGGGUAUCGAACAGGAUUAGAUACCCGUGUA